Molecule: ribosomal RNA, 318 nt
Filed under: Enterococcus faecium
Lineage: Bacteria; Bacillati; Bacillota; Bacilli; Lactobacillales; Enterococcaceae
Description: bacterial SSU rRNA
Rfam family: Bacterial small subunit ribosomal RNA
Source: RNAcentral
GACGUCAAAUCAUCAUGCCCCUUAUGACCUGGGCUACACACGUGCUACAAUGGGAAGUACAACGAGUUGCGAAGUCGCGAGGCUAAGCUAAUCUCUUAAAGCUUCUCUCAGUUCGGAUUGCAGGCUGCAACUCGCCUGCAUGAAGCCGGAAUCGCUAGUAAUCGCGGAUCAGCACGCCGCGGUGAAUACGUUCCCGGGCCUUGUACACACCGCCCGUCACACCACGAGAGUUUGUAACACCCGAAGUCGGUGAGGUAACCUUUUGGAGCCAGCCGCCGAAGGUGGGAUAGAUGAUGGGGUGAAGCGAUCCAGGUUGCU